This 395-nucleotide ribosomal RNA is filed under the name Myzocytiopsis sp. Its description in RNAcentral is "partial small subunit ribosomal RNA". It matches the Rfam family "Eukaryotic small subunit ribosomal RNA", at positions 587 to 975 of the family's 1831-position model. Lineage: Eukaryota; Oomycota; Myzocytiopsidales; Myzocytiopsidaceae. The record is from RNAcentral.
AGCUCCAAUAGCGUAUAUUAAAGUUGUUGCAGUUAAAAAGCUCGUAGUUGGAUUUCUGGUUGAAACGACCGGUCUGCUCUUCGGAGUACGUACUUGUGUUGUUUUGGCCAUUUUUUGUGAGGAUCUCUUUCUGCCAUUAAGUUGGUGGGUUGAUGGACUUGCAUCGUUUACUGUGAAAAAAUUAGAGUGUUUAAAGCAGGCGUUUGCCUAUUUUUGAAUACAUUAGCAUGGAAUAAUAAGAUACGACCUUGGUGGUCUAUUUUGUUGGUUUGCACACCAGGGUAAUGAUUAAUAGGGACAGUUGGGGGUAUUCAUAUUUCAGCGUCAGAGGUGAAAUUCUUGGAUCGCUGAAAGAUGAGCUUAGGCGAAAGCAUUUACCAAGGAUGUUUUCAUUA